GCCCAUGUAGCUCAGUUGGCAGAGCACGUCUUUGGUAAAGACGAGGUCACGAGUUCAAGUCUCGUCAUGGGCUCCA
This 76-nucleotide transfer RNA is filed under the name Chloroflexota bacterium. RNAcentral describes it as "Chloroflexi bacterium (mine drainage metagenome) tRNA-Thr". It matches the Rfam family "tRNA". From Rfam's summary of the family: Transfer RNA (tRNA) molecules are approximately 80 nucleotides in length. Their secondary structure includes four short double-helical elements and three loops (D, anti-codon, and T loops). Lineage: Bacteria; Bacillati; Chloroflexota. The record is from RNAcentral.